GCUCUUCCGAUCUGGAGCCGAAGCGAAAGCGAGUCUGAAGAGGGCGCCAAGUCGGGGGGGGUAGACGCGAAACCGAGUGAUCUACCCUUGGCCAGGUUGAAGGUUGGGUAACACCAACUGGAGGACCGGAUGGGUAAGCGUUGAAAAGCUUUCCAAUGAGCUGAGGGUAGGGGUGAAAGGCUAAUCAAACUCGGAGAUAGCUCGUACUCCCCGAAAUGCAUUUAGGUGCAGCCUCUUUAUAGUAUAUCGUGAGGUAGAGCGACUGAUUGGAUGCGAGGGCUUCACCGCCUAUCAAGUCCAGAUAAACUCCGAAUGCGCGAUAUAUAUUUACAGGGAGUGAGGGCGCGGGUGCUAAGGUCCGUGUCCGAGAGGAGAAGAAUCCAGACCACCGGCUAAGGCCCCCAAAUGAUCGUUAAGUUGAACUAACGAGGUCGGAUCGCAGAGACAGCUAGGAUGUUGGCUUGGAAGCAGCCAUUCAUUUAAAGAGUGCGUAACAGCUCACUAGUCGAGCGAUCUGGCGUGGAUAAUAAUCGGGCAUAAACGAUCUGCCGAAGCCGUGGAUGUCGCAAGACAUGGUAGGGGAGCAUUCCAUGCGGCGUCGAAGAUGAGGGAUGACCCUUGUUGGAGCGCAUGGAAAAGCAAAUGUAGGUAUGAGUAACGAUAAGGGGGGCGAGAAACCCCCCCGCCGAAAGACCAAGGUUUCCUGAUCAACGCUAAUCGGAUCAGGGUGAGUCGGGACCUAAGGCAAAGCCGAACGGCGCCGCCGAUGGAAGAAUGGGUUAAUAUUCCCAUACUGCCUCAUGGAGUGACGUGGAGACGGAGAAGUGACAGUCCUGCCGGCUGACGGAAUAGCCGGUUGAAGGGUGUAGAUAUUGAUUCCCGUAGGCAAAUCCGCGGGGAGAGUCGAACCUGAGAGUAUACGGAGCGCUUGCGCGACGUAAUAUGGACGUAACCAUGCUCCCGAGAAAAUCCGCUAAACUUAUCCAUGCGGCACCCGUACCGUAAACGGACACACGUGGUCGGGUUGAGAAUACUGAGGCGCUCGAGUGAUUCACGGUUAAGGAACUAGGCAAAUUGACCCUGUAACUUCGGGAUAAAGGGUCCUCGUCGUAAGGCGAGGCGCAGAGAAUAGGUCCAGGCAACUGUUUAACAAAAACACAUGGCUGUGCUAAAUGGAAACAUGACGUAUACAGCCUGACACCUGCCCGGUGCCGGAAGGUUAAGAGGAGAUGUCAUCCGCGAGGAGAAGCGUUGAAUUGAAGCCCCGGUAAACGGCGGCCGUAACUAUAACGGUCCUAAGGUAGCGAAAUUCCUUGUCGGGU
Molecule: ribosomal RNA, 1322 nt
Filed under: human gut metagenome
Description: bacterial LSU rRNA
Rfam family: Bacterial large subunit ribosomal RNA
Source: RNAcentral